This is a small nucleolar RNA of Coffea arabica (coffee), 107 nucleotides long. Lineage: Eukaryota; Viridiplantae; Streptophyta; Magnoliopsida; Gentianales; Rubiaceae. The record is from RefSeq and is a predicted model, not a curated record.
AUUGGGUGAUGAGGGCAUUUGAUGCAUAAUUUCUUGAAUCGCUCCCAAUAAUCAUAGAGCGACUCUCCCGGAUGUUGCUUGAUACUAUAUAUCUCCUUUCUCAGACU